RNAcentral lists this ribosomal RNA (450 nucleotides) under uncultured Anaerolineaceae bacterium. RNAcentral's name for it is "bacterial SSU rRNA". It matches the Rfam family "Bacterial small subunit ribosomal RNA", at positions 920 to 1378 of the family's 1533-position model. The record is from RNAcentral. Lineage: Bacteria; Bacillati; Chloroflexota; Anaerolineae; Anaerolineales; Anaerolineaceae.
CCCCGCACAAGCAGCGGAGCGUGUGGUUUAAUUCGAUGUUACACGAAGAACCUUACCAGGGUUUGACAUGCAAGUGGUAGGAAGCCGAAAGGUGACCGACCCUUCGGGGAGCUUGCACAGGUGCUGCAUGGCUGUCGUCAGCUCGUGUCGUGAGAUGUUCGGUUAAGUCCGCUAACGAGCGCAACCCUCGCUGCGUGUUAUAUGUGUCACACGGGACUGCCGGUCUUAAGCCGGAGGAAGGUGGGGAUGACGUCAAGUCCUCAUGGCCCUUAUGGGUAGGGCUUCACACGUCAUACAAUGGUCGGUACAGAGGGUUGCCAACCCGCGAGGGGGAGCUAAUCCCACAAAGCCGAUCGUAGUCCGGAUCGCAGUCUGCAACUCGACUGCGUGAAGUCGGAAUCGCUAGUAAUCGUGGAUCAGCAUGUCACGGUGAAUACGUUCCCGGGUCUU